Molecule: ribosomal RNA, 253 nt
Filed under: uncultured prokaryote
Description: partial 16S ribosomal RNA
Rfam family: Bacterial small subunit ribosomal RNA
Source: RNAcentral
UACGUAGGGUGCGAGCGUUAAUCGGAAUUACUGGGCGUAAAGCGUGCGUAGACGGUUAUUUAAGUCGGGUGUGAAAGCCCCGGGCUCAACCUGGGAAUUGCAUUCGAGACUGAAUAGCUAGGGUGCGGUAGAGGGAAGCGGAAUUUCCGGUGUAGCGGUGAAAUGCGUAGAUAUCGGGAGGAACACCAGUGGCGAAGGCGGCCUUCUGGACGGAUACUGACGCUGAGGCGCGAAAGCCAGGGGAGCAAACGGG